RNAcentral lists this transfer RNA (90 nucleotides) under Streptomyces camponoticapitis. RNAcentral describes it as "tRNA-Ser". The record is from RNAcentral. Lineage: Bacteria; Bacillati; Actinomycetota; Actinomycetes; Kitasatosporales; Streptomycetaceae.
UGGACCGUGGUGGGGGCGGACACUCAGCUCCGCUACGGCCGUGACGGCCGCUGGUGGCCGUACCGCAGGAUCGGCUCCCGCUGGGCCCCC